Molecule: ribosomal RNA, 222 nt
Filed under: uncultured bacterium
Lineage: Bacteria
Description: partial 16S ribosomal RNA
Rfam family: Bacterial small subunit ribosomal RNA
Source: RNAcentral
UACGAAGGGGGCUAGCGUUGCUCGGAAUGCUGGGCGUAAAGGGCGCGUAGGCGGUUUGUACAGUCAGGUGUGAAUUCCCGGCUCAACCUGGGGCUGCACUUGAUACGUAUGGACUUGAGUGAGGAAGAGGGUCGUGGAAAUUCCCAGUGUAGAGGUGAAAUGCGUAGAGAUCGGGAGGAACAUCAGUGGCGAAGGCGGCCAUCUGGGACAACACUGACGCUG